UCAGGCUCCUACUAGCCAAAGUUAUAUUGCAAAGGUGGUCUUAAUGGGAUGUCAUUUAUUUAACUCUUUAAUACUUAGGGCAAUUGUUAAAUGUACAGUAUUUUCUGGGGCUCCUUCUCUGAAAGGGGAAGAAUAUAUCUAUAAAAUAUUUUAUGAGCCAGUUAAUUUUGGAUCUAGCUGAAAAAAGAUUAAAUUAUUAUUCACUUUGAAACCUACACCACUCGUGCCAGAGUACUUGAUGUUUACACUUAUCUGGAGCUCAGACUCUUUAUGCUACACAAAUCUGAGGGGGGCCUUCCUUGCUCCGUCCACCACCACCCACAGUUAUAAAGCCAACUAAACAGAGAAGAUGGAAGAAGCAGUUAUGAAAUCGCUCACUUCUCUGCCUUGGUUCUAUGGCCAUUAUUUGCAUAAAAUAAAUAAUAUGCAUUAAAUUAAAAAUCAGCAUUAAAAUUGGAAAUGAGGGAAAAAAA
Non-coding RNA from Kogia breviceps (pygmy sperm whale), 473 nucleotides. The record is from RefSeq and is a predicted model, not a curated record. NCBI's taxonomy places the organism in Eukaryota, Metazoa, Chordata, Mammalia, Artiodactyla, Physeteridae.